This 478-nucleotide ribosomal RNA is filed under the name uncultured bacterium. Its description in RNAcentral is "partial 16S ribosomal RNA". It matches the Rfam family "Bacterial small subunit ribosomal RNA", at positions 28 to 523 of the family's 1533-position model. The record is from RNAcentral.
GACGAACGCUGGCGGCGUGCUUAACACAUGCAAGUCGAACGGUAAGGCCCUUCGGGGUACACGAGUGGCGAACGGGUGAGUAACACGUGGGUGAUCUGCCCUGCACUUCGGGAUCCGCCUGGGAAACUGGGUCUAAUACCGGCUAGGACCACUGCCCGCAUGGGUGGUGGUGGAAAGCUUUUGCGGUGUGGGAUGGGCCCGCGGCCUAUCAGCUUGUUGGUGGGGUGAUGGCCUACCAAGGCGACGACGGGUAGCCGGCCUGAGAGGGUGACCGGCCACACUGGGACUGAGAUACGGCCCAGACUCCUACGGGAGGCAGCAGUGGGGAAUAUUGCACAAUGGGCGCAAGCCUGAUGCAGCGACGCCGCGUGAGGGAUGACGGCCUUCGGGUUGUAAACCUCUUUCAGCACCGACGAAGCGCAAGUGACGGUAGGUGCAGAAGAAGGACCGGCCAACUACGUGCCAGCCGCCGCAGUAA